CUGAAGCGUAUAUUAAAGUUGCUGCAGUUAAAAAGCUCGUAGUUGGAUUUCUGAUUCUUUGAACCUAGUCCGCCCCGAUUUAGGUGUGCGUGUACUGGUGUUUGAUAAUCUUCCUUGGAGUGCAUGCAUCUACCAUUUAUUUGGACGGGUGUAUUUUGUGCUCCAUCAUUUACUGUGAACAAAUUAGAGUGUUCAAGGCAAGCAUAAUUGCUGUGAAUACAUUAGCAUGGAAUAAUAAGAUAGGACUUUUGUACUAUUUUGUUGGUUUCUUGUACUGAAGUAAUGAUUGAUAGGGACAGUUGGGGGUGCUAGUAUUCAUUUGGAAGGGGUGAAAUCUUUGGAUCUAAUGAAGACUAACUGAUGCGAAAGCGUUCACCAAAUAUGUUCCCUUUAAUCAAGAACGAUAGUCGAGGGAGCGAAGACGAUCAGAUACCAU
Molecule: ribosomal RNA, 436 nt
Filed under: uncultured eukaryote
Lineage: Eukaryota
Description: bacterial SSU rRNA
Rfam family: Eukaryotic small subunit ribosomal RNA
Source: RNAcentral